GUGAGGAAUAUUGGACAAUGGAUGGAAAUCUGAUCCAGCCAUGCCGCGUGCAGGAAGAAUGUCCUAUGGAUUGUAAACUGCUUUUGUAUGGGAGCAAUAAGGUCUUCGUGAAGGCCGAUGAGAGUACCAUACGAAUAAGCACCGGCUAACUCCGUGCCAGCAGCCGCGGUAAUACGGAGGGUGCAAGCGUUAUCCGGAUUUAUUGGGUUUAAAGGGUGCGUAGGCGGUUAUAUAAGUCAGCGGUGAAAUUUUUCGGCUCAACCGGAAACAUGCCGUUGAUACUGUAUAGCUUGAAUAUGGUUGCUGUGAGUGGAAUGUGUAGUGUAGCGGUGAAAUGCUUAGAUAUUACACAGAAUAUCGAUUGCGAAGGCAACUCACAAAGCCAAUAUUGACGCUGAGGCACGAAAGUGUGGGGAUCAAACAGGAUUAGAAACCCUGGUAGUCC
This 445-nucleotide ribosomal RNA is filed under the name uncultured bacterium. RNAcentral's name for it is "bacterial SSU rRNA". It matches the Rfam family "Bacterial small subunit ribosomal RNA", at positions 354 to 796 of the family's 1533-position model. The record is from RNAcentral.